GACGAACGCUGGCGGCGUGCCUAAUACAUGCCAGUAGAACGCUGAAGGAAGGAGCUUGCUCUUUCUGGAUGAGUUGCGAACGGGUGAGUAACGCGUAGGUAACCUGCCUGGUAGCGGGGGAUAACUAUUGGAAACGAUAGCUAAUACCGCAUAAAAUUGAUUAUUGCAUGAUAGUCAAUUAAAAGGUGCAACUGCACCACUACCAGAUGGACCUGCGUUGUAUUAGCUAGUUGGUGGGGUAACGGCUCACCAAGGCGACGAUACAUAGCCGACCUGAGAGGGUGAUCGGCCACACUGGGACUGAGACACGGCCCAGACUCCUACGGGAGGCAGCAGUAGGGAAUCUUCGGCAAUGGACGGAAGUCUGACCGAGCAACGCCGCGUGAGUGAAGAAGGGUUUCGGAUCGUAAAGCUCGGUUGUAAGAGAAGAACGAGUGUGAGAGUGGAAAGUUCACACUGUGACGGUAUCUUACCAGAAAGGGACGGCUAACUACGUG
Molecule: ribosomal RNA, 497 nt
Filed under: uncultured bacterium
Lineage: Bacteria
Description: partial 16S ribosomal RNA
Rfam family: Bacterial small subunit ribosomal RNA
Source: RNAcentral